AUAUCUCUAUAAUCUGCUAAAGUAUAAAACAUAAGUCUCAAAAAAUCGGGGGGUAUAUGACCUUGUUGUAACCACUGUUGAGGGG
Molecule: non-coding RNA, 85 nt
Filed under: Plasmodium falciparum 3D7
Lineage: Eukaryota; Apicomplexa; Aconoidasida; Haemosporida; Plasmodiidae
Source: RNAcentral